This 132-nucleotide ribosomal RNA is filed under the name uncultured bacterium. RNAcentral describes it as "partial 16S ribosomal RNA". It matches the Rfam family "Bacterial small subunit ribosomal RNA", at positions 383 to 507 of the family's 1533-position model. The record is from RNAcentral.
CUGAUGCAGCCAUGCCGCGUGUAUGAAGAAGGCCUUCGGGUUGUAAAGUACUGUCAGCGGGGAGGAAGGCAGUGAGGUUAAUACCCUUGCUCAUUGACGUUACUCGCAGAAGAAGCACCGGCUAACUCCGUG